This 100-nucleotide small nuclear RNA is filed under the name Ochotona princeps (American pika). The record is from RNAcentral. Lineage: Eukaryota; Metazoa; Chordata; Mammalia; Lagomorpha; Ochotonidae.
GGGUUUCAGCAACACAUACACUAAAACUGGAAUGAUACAGAGAUUAGCAGAGCCCCUGAGGAAGGAUGGCAUGCAGAUCCAUGAAGCAUUCCACAUGUAC